GCAUAUGGUUCGCUAUGCUACGGAAUGGACAAUUUUCACGAAAUCCAUUUUCACCGGGUUGCAGUGACAGCUGAAUCACAAAACGCAUGGAGAACUGUUUGACAUGUUAUAUGCUAUUGUGCUGUGAAUAAGCCGGCAUCGUAAAUCUGGCUGUUUUACAACAAUUUUACGCAUUUAAUUACUAGUUUUCCGAACUAUUUGCAAUUAAAGCUAUAACACGACGUAUCAACUUAGCGAAAGUGUUGGGUAUGAUUCUGUUUCAAAGCUUUAUUGUUCUGCUCCAUCCAUAACGAAAACACGCGGUUUUGCAGUUGGUGACGAAACAGUAAGCUCGACUGGCCGUGCACUGUGCCUGCUCCGAUGACAAUGCAAACAAUAUGGAGUGGAUGUGGAGCUCGAAAGUUCCUCAAUCUACGUCUGUUCGAUGAGCCAGCUACCGAGAAAUGGUGGACAGAAUCGGUUGCAGCGCCUGGAAAUACUGUGCAUUAGUCACUUUACGCUGUACCACCAGUUGAAAGGUUACACAUGUCGAAUUUUAGCCGAGCCAUGCGAGAAUCGGAGGCACAGCAGCUGUACAGGUCGUUUCUGGAGCAGUUACCUGAACAGUGCAUCUAAGAACGCAUACAGGACGGUCGGUUUGGGACAAUAAUGCCGGUAUACAUUCAAAACGGCGUUCCGUUACGCAGGAAAUCGAAUCGUCCGCAGAGUGAACAAAAGCGCCAAAAGCUAAAGCGAAAUUGGUGUGUAAAAUCGACGCCAAACCAAUGGGCAGCGUUGAAAGAACCAUGAAGAAUCUCCCCAGUGCAGAAUGAAAAUCAAACUAUCUUGUUUUGGACGAAGAUACUGGCCACAUUUGUAGAAUUUUGUCGUAGGAAACGACCGGUUUUAGCAUUUUAAGUCAACCAGAGAGAUAGUUCAUCCAUACUAUACGAUCCGCCAUCAUCUGUCACUUUACAUUCCGGUGAAAAUGCUACACAAAUUAAUGGAAUAAAUUUGAAAUAUUUCCCUGAAA
Molecule: long non-coding RNA, 1012 nt
Organism: Anopheles funestus (African malaria mosquito)
Lineage: Eukaryota; Metazoa; Arthropoda; Insecta; Diptera; Culicidae
Exons: 3
Source: RefSeq, a predicted model, not a curated record